AGGCCUGUAGUCCCCUGGAUCCCUCUUCUGUCCCUGCUUGUAGAUGGGUGUCACAUUUGCUUACCUCCACUCAACUGGGACCUCCUCUAUCAGGAUUCUUGAUAAUUGAUGGAAAAUAGCUCAGCGAGCUUUUGCACCAGCUACCUCAGUGCCCUUGGGUGGAUGCUAUGUGACCCUAUAGACUUGAAGAAGAGCAAAAUACCUGUUCUGUGAAAGAAAUAAUUAAUUGCAGCUCAAUAGGAUAUUAUUUUCAUGCAUUUUAGCUCAAAGCUGAAAGUAUCUCUUUGGGGAAGGAUGAUUUUGAGGCAAAACCCCGAUGUGGUACUAAAUUGCUUUUAAAAACUCAAAAUAGUUUCUCAAAAUGGCCUAAUAUAUUUUCUCACAUGACAAAAUGAAACAAAAUAAAUGGAGUUGCACUAGUAUA
Passer domesticus (house sparrow) is the source of this 424-nucleotide long non-coding RNA. RefSeq lists it as uncharacterized. NCBI's taxonomy places the organism in Eukaryota, Metazoa, Chordata, Aves, Passeriformes, Passeridae. The transcript has 3 exons. The record is from RefSeq and is a predicted model, not a curated record.